AUGCUGGCCGCCACCGCCGCCUGCCGCGCGCCGGCGCGGCCGCUCCCCGCCGCACGACCCGGCAGCAGCUACCUCCUCGGGAGCGUCCUUCUCCCCAAACGGAGAGCGCCGGCGGCGAGGAGGAGGGGACGGAGCGCGGUGGUGCGGUGCGGGCUGCUCCCCGUGGACCCGUGGGCGCCCGGCGUCGACUCCCAGAGCAUCGCGUCGCAGCUCUUCGCCGUGUCGCUGUUCCCCUACCUGGGGUUCCUCUACUUCAUGACCCGGUCCAAGACGGCGCCCGGGCUCACGCUCUUCGGCUUCUACUUCCUCCUCGCUCGUCGGCGCCACCAUACCUGCUGGGAUAUAUGCCAAAGUUCAUUACGGGACCUCGCUUUCAAAUGUGGAUUUGCUGCAUGGGACGGCGGAAUCGCUUCUCACCCUUACCAAUCUAUUCAUUGUGCUUGGGCUGAGGGGAGCCUUGAGGAACCUGGACAAAGCAGAGGAGAGCAGUCCUGA
This 495-nucleotide ribosomal RNA is filed under the name Triticum aestivum (bread wheat). RNAcentral describes it as "partial small subunit ribosomal RNA". The record is from RNAcentral. Lineage: Eukaryota; Viridiplantae; Streptophyta; Magnoliopsida; Poales; Poaceae.